GUGGGGAAUUUUGGACAAUGGGCGCAAGCCUGAUCCAGCAAUGCCGCGUGCAGGAAGAAGGCCUUCGGGUUGUAAACUGCUUUUGUACGGAACGAAACGGCUCUGGUUAAUACCUGGGGCUAAUGACAGUACCGUAAGAAUAAGCACCGGCUAACUACGUGCCAGCAGCCGCGGUAAUACGUAGGGUGCAAGCGUUAAUCGGAAUUACUGGGCGUAAAGCGUGCGCAGGCGGUUGUGUAAGACAGGCGUGAAAUCCCCGGGCUCAACCUGGGAAUUGCGCUUGUGACUGCACGGCUGGAGUGCGGCAGAGGGGGAUGGAAUUCCGCGUGUAGCAGUGAAAUGCGUAGAUAUGCGGAGGAACACCGAUGGCGAAGGCAAUCCCCUGGGCCUGCACUGACGCUCAUGCACGAAAGCGUGGGGAGCAAACAGGAUUAGAUACCCUGGUAGUCCACGCCCUAAACGAUGUCAACUGGUUGUUGGGUCUCUUCUGACUCAGUAACGAAGCUAACGCGUGAAGUUGACCGCCUGGGGAGUACGCCGCAAGGUU
Molecule: ribosomal RNA, 547 nt
Filed under: uncultured bacterium
Lineage: Bacteria
Description: bacterial SSU rRNA
Rfam family: Bacterial small subunit ribosomal RNA
Source: RNAcentral